UUCUUACUCCCUCCGUUCAGAAUUACUUGUCUUGGAAAUUGAUGCAUCUAGAACUAAAAUACGUCUAGAUACAUCCAUUUUCGCGACAAGUAAUUCCGAACGGAGGGAGUACCUU
Non-coding RNA from Triticum aestivum (bread wheat), 115 nucleotides. The record is from Rfam. NCBI's taxonomy places the organism in Eukaryota, Viridiplantae, Streptophyta, Magnoliopsida, Poales, Poaceae.